AUACGGAGGAUCCGAGCGUUAUCCGGAUUUAUUGGGUUUAAAGGGUGCGCAGGCGGGAGAUUAAGUCGGCGGUGGAAUUUUGCAGCUCAACUGUAAAAGUGCCUUCGAAACUGGUUUCCUUGAGUGUAGAUGAAGUAGGCGGAAUUUGUGGGGUAGCGGUGAAAUGCAUAGAUAUCACGGGGAACUCCGAUUGCGCAGGCAGCUUACUAAACUACUACUGACGCUCAGGCACGAAGGCGUGGGGAUCAAACAGGAUUAGAUACCCUGGUAGUCCACGCAGUAAACGAUGAUUACUAGCUGUUUGCGAUACAAUGUAAGCGGCUGAGCGAAAGCGUUAAGUAAUCCACCUGGGGAGUACGUUCGCAAGAAUGAAACUCAAAUGAAUUGACGGGG
RNAcentral lists this ribosomal RNA (393 nucleotides) under uncultured bacterium. RNAcentral's name for it is "partial 16S ribosomal RNA". It matches the Rfam family "Bacterial small subunit ribosomal RNA", at positions 523 to 918 of the family's 1533-position model. The record is from RNAcentral.